AGCGAACGCUGGCGGCAGGCUUAACACAUGCAAGUCGAGCGGGCACCUUCGGGUGUCAGCGGCAGACGGGUGAGUAACACGUGGGAACGUACCCUUCGGUUCGGAAUAACGCUGGGAAACUAGCGCUAAUACCGGAUACGCCCUUAUGGGGAAAGGUUUACUGCCGAAGGAUCGGCCCGCGUCUGAUUAGCUAGUUGGUGGGGUAACGGCCUACCAAGGCGACGAUCAGUAGCUGGUCUGAGAGGAUGAUCAGCCACACUGGGACUGAGACACGGCCCAGACUCCUACGGGAGGCAGCAGUGGGGAAUAUUGGACAAUGGGCGCAAGCCUGAUCCAGCCAGGCCGCGUGAGUGAUGAAGGCCUUAGGGUUGUAAAGCUCUUUUGUCCGGGACGAUAAUGACGGUACCGGAAGAAUAAGCCCCGGCUAACUUCGUG
This 435-nucleotide ribosomal RNA is filed under the name uncultured bacterium. Its description in RNAcentral is "partial 16S ribosomal RNA". It matches the Rfam family "Bacterial small subunit ribosomal RNA", at positions 29 to 507 of the family's 1533-position model. The record is from RNAcentral.